AGUCGUAACAAGGUUUCCGUAGGUGAACCUGCGGAAGGAUCAUUAAAGAGUAAGGGUGCUCAGCGCCCGACCUCCAACCCUUUGUUGUUAAAACUACCUUGUUGCUUUGGCGGGACCGCUCGGUCUCGAGCCGCUGGGGAUUCGUCCCAGGCGAGCGCCCGCCAGAGUUAAACCAAACUCUUGUUAUUAAACCGGUCGUCUGAGUUAAAAUUUUGAAUAAAUCAAAACUUUCAACAACGGAUCUCUUGGUUCUCGCAUCGAUGAAGAACGCAGCGAAAUGCGAUAAGUAAUGUGAAUUGCAGAAUUCAGUGAAUCAUCGAAUCUUUGAACGCACAUUGCGCCCCUUGGUAUUCCGAGGGGCAUGCCUGUUCGAGCGUCAUUACACCACUCAAGCUAUGCUUGGUAUUGGGUGCCGUCCUUAGUUGGGCGCGCCUUAAAGACCUCGGCGAGGCCUCACCGGCUUUAGGCGUAGUAGAAUUUAUUCGAACGUCUGUCAAAGGAGAGGACUUCUGCCGACUGAAACCUUUUAUUUUUCUAGGUUGACCUCGGAUCAGGUAGGGAUACCCGCUGAACUUAAGCAUAUCAAUAAUAAAAGUCG
Molecule: ribosomal RNA, 598 nt
Filed under: uncultured fungus
Lineage: Eukaryota; Fungi
Description: eukaryotic LSU rRNA
Rfam family: 5.8S ribosomal RNA (bases 226-379)
Source: RNAcentral